Molecule: ribosomal RNA, 274 nt
Filed under: uncultured Enterococcus sp.
Lineage: Bacteria; Bacillati; Bacillota; Bacilli; Lactobacillales; Enterococcaceae
Description: partial 16S ribosomal RNA
Rfam family: Bacterial small subunit ribosomal RNA
Source: RNAcentral
CUAAAAUGGGCGGUACAAGGGUUGCGACCCGCGAGGGUGACUAAUCUCUUAAAGCCCCUCUCAGUUCGGAUUGCAGGCUGCAACUCGCCUGCAUGAAGUCGGAAUCGCUAGUAAUCGCGGAUCAGCACGCCGCGGUGAAUACGUUCCCGGGCCUUGUACACACCGCCCGUCACACCACGAGAGUUUGUAACACCCGAAGUCGGUGAGGUAACCCUUAGGAGGGCCCCCCCCUAAGGGGGGAAAAAUGAUUGGGGGGAAACCCAAAAAAGGGAAC